RNAcentral lists this long non-coding RNA (1915 nucleotides) under Bemisia tabaci. RNAcentral's name for it is "lncRNA ENSSSA2NGG010117". Lineage: Eukaryota; Metazoa; Arthropoda; Insecta; Hemiptera; Aleyrodidae. The record is from RNAcentral.
AUGAUAGAGGUUAUAGUUCUGAUAUGGAAACAAGUGGACGAGGCUGGUAGAAGCGGAGCAAGAGGUCGGGGUCGAGGUAACAGAGGUGGAGGGCGGCAUUUAAACGAUCAACGUUUCAAUUCUGGUUCCAGACAUCAAACGCCAGACAACAUAGACGAAAGAUUACCACCUCGACAAAGUUACCAAGCCAUGGGAUCGAGAGGUUCUCACAAUAAUAGCUACUCAUCAAGGCCAAGGGGCGCUGGUGGCCGGAAAGACCACCGACAGAACGAAGAUAGAUGGAGAGUUAAUGAUGACGAUGAACACUCUCAAUUAGAUUCUCAUUCACACGAAAACGCAGACAGAGGGUUACAUAAAGGCUCGCAAAAGAGUGGCCGCUCAGGAAAGCCGCGUGGAAAUUACCAGGGUGGUGGCACCAAAGAAAAUAGGCAAUUCAACGAUAGUUGGCGGCUGAGCGAUGAAGAUGACUCACAUGUUAGCAGGGUAAACUGGAGUGAAAACGCAGAAAAAGAAUCAGUAUCGAGUGUGGAAGGAGCACGAACAAAUAACCGCAGGCCACGAAAUGCCAGGCGCAAAACGCGACCCCGAAGCCACACACCGACCACUGAGAAAGAAACAAUGAGUGGUCAAGCUCAUGAAGUAGUAAAUAACAAAGACUCAGGAAAGAAUUCUCAAGAGAGCUCUAGAAAUCAACGAGAUUCACGGUCCAAAGGACAGAAGCCACCCCAGUCGAAGCGAGCCUCCGCAUCAGUUUCCAAUGACAAACCAAAGAACAACCACUUGUCAAUGGCACCUCCGAAUAGGAUUUCAUUUACUUCUUGUUUUUAUUUAUUUAUUAUUUUUUAAUUUUUCACGUUUAUUUGUUCUCUUAAAGAAAACUUCAAAUUUUGUUAUUUUGUGUCAGUCGUUCAACGCGUUGAAGUAGAAAAAUUUUUCCUUUUUUUUACAAAAAAAAAAAGCCUUCCACCAAAAACUAAUGGGUACCAUGUUCGAUUUCCGUUUUUUGUGCUAAAAUUUGUCGCCCAAAAAUUUUCUCUUGUAGCAGUAAUUACCAAGAUUACAUUGGUGCUCUUUUUCCUCGAAAUUGGUGGUCGAUGCCCUAGUUCCUAUUUUGCUUCUCGCUCACGUUUCGUAGUAUCUUUGUUCCAUACCCAAAGAAACUUACCGGACUGAUCUAGUUAACAAAUUCCCGAUUUAUUCAAAUGAACUUCUGAAGUAGCCCUUUCUACCCGGUACAAAGAUACAAAUGUACGGUUUUAGUAAAGCUCUCUUUCUUCCCCUUAUUUUUGGGUGUAACCUAAUAAAAUAAAGGAAUUAAAAUGGGGAAGUUUUUGAAGGGAAGAUGGUACUUCUUAAAAACUGUAAAUUAAACCUUUGGAGCAAAUAUCCUGAAAAUAAAGUCUGUAAAAUUGCGGAUUAACCCAGUUAUUAUCGUUCUCUGAAAAUUUCUAGUAAUUGAAUGGUCUCUUGGGUAUUCGGAAUUACCCCAUGCUAACAGGGAAUUCACAGGUAUUAAGUUGGCUGACUCUCCUAGUGAGAAGCAGGAUUUGCUGUUUGUGUUUAAUUUCAAUGGCAUACUAAAGGCUCGAUCUGUCUUGCUCCCGAAAUUAGCCAACUAAUUUGGGGUGAACGUUAGAUUCAGUUCUUUUAGCGAUGCCUAACUAUUGGAAUUCGAACAUAAUUUGAAUUUUAACAAUCAGUAUGGUUCAUGCUCCACCCUUACGUCAUUCUAACGAUACUUUAUCAGUCUAUAAUGAGAGUAAUCAUACCAUCUGAAAACCUUGAUGUCCUUUGUAAUGGAUUGAUACGAAACUGACCUCUAUAAAUAUCUCGCUUUAACUAAUGUCGUCAAACCGUACGAACUUUUCACAUAAUUGUCUCUUCUAUUCUACCCUUGCAUCUCUGUUAAUUUGUU